This 497-nucleotide ribosomal RNA is filed under the name uncultured bacterium. RNAcentral describes it as "partial 16S ribosomal RNA". It matches the Rfam family "Bacterial small subunit ribosomal RNA", at positions 28 to 507 of the family's 1533-position model. The record is from RNAcentral.
GAUGAACGCUGGCGGCGUGCCUAAUACAUGCAAGUCGAGCGAACGGACGAGAAGCUUGCUUCUCUGAUGUUAGCGGCGGACGGGUGAGUAACACGUGGAUAACCUACCUAUAAGACUGGGAUAACUUCGGGAAACCGGAGCUAAUACCGGAUAAUAUUUUGAACCGCAUGGUUCAAAAGUGAAAGACGGUCUUGCUGUCACUUAUAGAUGGAUCCGCGCUGCAUUAGCUAGUUGGUAAGGUAACGGCUUACCAAGGCAACGAUGCAUAGCCGACCUGAGAGGGUGAUCGGCCACACUGGAACUGAGACACGGUCCAGACUCCUACGGGAGGCAGCAGUAGGGAAUCUUCCGCAAAGGGCGAAAGCCUGACGGAGCAACGCCGCGUGAGUGAUGAAGGGUUUCGGAUCGUAAAACUCUGUUAUUAGGGAAGAACAUAUGUGUAAGUAACUGUGCACAUCUUGACGGUACCUAAUCAGAAAGCCACGGCUAACUACGUG